CUAAACUUGUGUUUUCUUGUAGUGUUGUAUUCAUCUACUUGUCUUCUCUCUCAGUUAUGGAAACGAUUUUUUUUUUUGUCUUCCAGUAAUAAUGCAUGUAUGUCUAUGUAACAUAUGAAGACGUGUUUGGGGGUGCUGUAGUCGUGGACGACUUGUGCUAUUUGAGAUAAGUUUUAAUGUAUUAGAUUUUUGAUCUAACUCUUUUUGUCGUUUGAAUUAUGUAAUGUUAUCUUGUUACACUCGGUGUAUGAACGUGUAAACUUUCUGUAUCAAACAGAGAGACGUGAUUGCUUUCGGAGUCAUGAUUUGAUCGUAACAAUAUGAUUUAAUGUAACUCAUUUUAGCUAAAAAUAAAUAAGAAU
Molecule: long non-coding RNA, 362 nt
Filed under: Brassica napus (rape)
Lineage: Eukaryota; Viridiplantae; Streptophyta; Magnoliopsida; Brassicales; Brassicaceae
Description: long non-coding RNA (BNAP_LNC019162)
Source: RNAcentral